Molecule: ribosomal RNA, 465 nt
Filed under: Streptococcus sp. oral taxon H24
Lineage: Bacteria; Bacillati; Bacillota; Bacilli; Lactobacillales; Streptococcaceae
Description: bacterial SSU rRNA
Rfam family: Bacterial small subunit ribosomal RNA
Source: RNAcentral
GACGAACGCUGGCGGCGUGCCUAAUACAUGCAAGUAGAACGCACAGUUUAUACCGUAGCUUGCUACACCAUAAACUGUGAGUUGCGAACGGGUGAGUAACGCGUAGGUAACCUGCCUGGUAGCGGGGGAUAACUAUUGGAAACGAUAGCUAAUACCGCAUAAUAUUGAUUAUUGCAUGAUAAUUGAUUGAAAGAUGCUAUUGCAUCACUACCAGAUGGACCUGCGUUGUAUUAGCUAGUAGGUGAGGUAACGGCUCACCUAGGCGACGAUACAUAGCCGACCUGAGAGGGUGAUCGGCCACACUGGGACUGAGACACGGCCCAGACUCCUACGGGAGGCAGCAGUAGGGAAUCUUCGGCAAUGGACGAAAGUCUGACCGAGCAACGCCGCGUGAGUGAAGAAGGUUUUCGGAUCGUAAAGCUCUGUUGUAAGAGAAGAACGGGUGUGAGAGGGAAAGUUCACACU